GACGAACGCUGGCGGCGUGCUUAACACAUGCAAGUCGAACGGAAAGGCCCUGCUUUUGUGGGGUGCUCGAGUGGCGAACGGGUGAGUAACACGUGAGUAACCUGCCCUUGACUUUGGGAUAACUUCAGGAAACUGGGGCUAAUACCGGAUAGGAGCUCCUGCUGCAUGGUGGGGGUUGGAAAGUUUCGGCGGUUGGGGAUGGACUCGCGGCUUAUCAGCUUGUUGGUGGGGUAGUGGCUUACCAAGGCUUUGACGGGUAGCCGGCCUGAGGGGGUGACCGGCCACAUUGGGACUGAGAGACGGCCCAGACUCCUACGGGAGGCAGCGGUGGGGAAUAUUGCACAAUGGGCGGAAGCCUGAUGCAGCAACGCCGCGUGCGGGAUGACGGCCUUCGGGUUGUAAACCGCUUUCGCCUGUGACGAAGCGUGAGUGACGGUAAUGGGUAAAGAAGCACCGGCUAACUACGUG
This 468-nucleotide ribosomal RNA is filed under the name uncultured bacterium. RNAcentral describes it as "partial 16S ribosomal RNA". It matches the Rfam family "Bacterial small subunit ribosomal RNA", at positions 28 to 507 of the family's 1533-position model. The record is from RNAcentral.